Cyanistes caeruleus (blue tit) is the source of this 2281-nucleotide non-coding RNA. The record is from RefSeq and is a predicted model, not a curated record. NCBI's taxonomy places the organism in Eukaryota, Metazoa, Chordata, Aves, Passeriformes, Paridae.
AGCCACCCUGCAGGAGAGAAGGUUGUUAUUAAAACUGUGCAGUUUUUCUUAGUGAAAAUUCAUUUGGGGAGGUGGGUGGGAGGCAAAGGAUGUGUGUUCUCAUCUAAGAAUUCCUCAGAUAUUUUCCUUAAAUUAUUUUAAUUCUUCCUGGGCAGCAUUUCCUGUCAGGAAAUUACAUUUAGCUCGUUUUUCCCAGAGCCAACUUUGAUCCUUGUAGUGACCAUGGUGUUUAAUUUGAUUGAAUUUAAUCCCUGAUUUUUUUGUUGUUUUUUUUUCCUGUUUAAGUAAGUGGGCCAAAAGUAGCUGAUGGAAGAUCCUGUUGGAUCCAUGGGAUGAGUUGUGUGUGUGCUGGUAUUUACAACAUCUGGGCUGCAAACCCCCCCUGUUCUCCAGCCUUGUCUUCUUGUCUAACAGGAGAGAUCCCAGGCCAGGAGCUGGAAGUAAACUUGAUAAAAGUAGCUCUGGGAGGACUUAAAAGGAAAAGCUGAAUUCCAUCGAGCCUCAGGAAUCUCUGGAGGAUGCAGGUCACCUUUUAAAGUGACCUCUAAGUGUUGGGUUUGGUCCUGGCAAAUCAUCUCGGGUCUGGGCAGUGCUUUGAAAGGUGGAGAAUUCCUCUCUUGGAAUCUAAAAUCUGCAAAGUGCUGGGAGAUGCUGCUGCACAUAAAAACCCUGAUCCCCAGUGUGGUGUGGGUGGGUGUGGGGCAGAUCUGCUGCUGUGAAAUGCAGUUCCUCUGGAGACAUCCAUGAUUUACACAAACAGCAAAUCUGGCCCAAAUCUGGGAUUCUUGAAGCCAGGAAGGGACACAAUGCAGUCCCUGAGAUCCUGGGCUCGGGCACACGGAGGGAAAGGGUGCUGGUAGAACUCUGGGGUCUGUGCUGGAGGGAGGCACUGGCAUUUCCCCAGCUGCAGGAAGGUUUUAUAAAGCAGAGGAGAAGCUGCUUGUGCCCAGUUUCGGUUUCUGUUGGCUCCUGCUGGCCCAGGGACCGUCCCUGUGCUGGGAGAGCUCAGCUGCACAGGAGCCACCCCUCGGUGCUGCUCUGGGGACUCUCCCAUGACCCUGGGGCUCUUGUGGAGUGCUUCAUUCCCAGGGCUGACAUCUCUCUGCUGCCUGGAAGUCUCAGGGAUUUGGAGAGGAGAAGGGACGCUGACGUAGUUAUUUGUGAGAGGAACAGGACAGAGUGGUCCAGCUGAACUCUGAUUUAUUGCAGUUCUUAAAAUAUCCUUCAGGAUAUUUGUUAAUUUAUUUAUUUAUUUCAGUUUUCCUGGUUUGGGGGUUUUUUUUUUGGUGCUGAGUGGGAUUUAGGUGCAGUGGGAUUUGCCAGCAUUGCCUCACUGGCAGCACAGCCAUCAACUUCCAUCACACCCCAAACUUUCAAAGCAAGUCCAGUCUCUGUGCCCCCAGGACAAUAAAUGACUCCUGCUGCAGAAAGCUGAUCUGGGAGCUUGUGGUGUUCAAACCCCAGCAAAGCAGCAGUUUUGUAAGGAAUGCUGGUGAAUCCCAGGCACCAAUGUAAUCCAGACUAAACAUUCCCAGCACUGCUGGUGCUGCCGGCUGGGUCAGGCUCUUUAAAUGGUGCUGCUGAUCUUGAAUCACAAGUUUUAUUUAUCCCUGAUGCCCUGAGGAGCAAAAUUCAAUGGGAAGGUGAAGAUAAAAAUGUAGAAAAUGUCUGAAUACAUGUGCCAGCAGAGCUUUUGGGUGACUCCAUCCUCUCCCCUUUCACCACCCAAAUUUCUUGGGACUGAAAUUCAUGCUCUGGGGGCUGGAAUCUCUUCUAGAAUUUGUGUUACAAGCUUUGGUUCAGCUCUUUUGCACUUUUGAGUCAGUGAUUUGUACUGCUUGUGGAAAUAAACCAUGCCCUUCUCUCCUCAGCUUGCUCUUGGCUGCCAAAAUAAUGUUUAUUUUGGUUUGGGUUGGGUUUUUUCAGCGUGGCAGCAUCCAGAGGUGCCAGUGGAUGGGGGGCUCUGAAGGAAACUCCAAACUUCCCCUUUGGGUCCUGCCAAGCUGCCCCUGGAUUUCAGGGCUUUCAGCUGAACAGAUUUGCAGCACAAGAGAUGAUUGGAUUCUUUUUCUGGGGAAUUUCCUCUGCAGCUGCAGCUUUGGAAGGACUUUGCCCCUGUAGGUCUGAUCCAGCCUGGAACCUGUUUGCCUCCUUAAGGCAGGCAUGGAAAUUACUGAGAUGGGAGAUGCUUUUCCUGCCUUCCAGCUGCCCACACUUUGGGGAAGGAGUUUUAAACUCUGAAUGCCUUCCAGAAAGAAAUGCCAAAUUAUAAAUGGUGCUU